CAUAAGUAACGAUAAUGCGGGUGAAAAACCCGCACGCCGGAAGACCAAGGGUUCCUGUCCAACGUUAAUCGGGGCAGGGUGAGUCGACCCCUAAGGCGAGGCCGAAAGGCGUAGUCGAUGGGAAACAGGUUAAUAUUCCUGUACUUGGUGUUACUGCGAAGGGGGGACGGAGAAGGCUAUGUUAGCCGGGCGACGGUUGUCCCGGUUUAAGCAUGUAGGCGGAGGUUCCAGGUAAAUCCGGUACCUUUUUAACGCUGAGGUGUGAUGACGAGGCACUACGGUGCUGAAGUAACAAAUGCCCUGCUUCCAGGAAAAGCCUCUAAGCAUCAGGUAACACGAAAUCGUACCCCAAACCGACACAGGUGGUCAGGUAGAGAAUACCAAGGCGCUUGAGAGAACUCGGGUGAAGGAACUAGGCAAAAUGGUGCCGUAACUUCGGGAGAAGGCACGCUGAUAUGUAGGUGAAGCGGUUUACCCGUGGAGCUGAAAUCAGUCGAAGAUACCAGCUGGCUGCAACUGUUUAUUAAAAACACAGCACUGUGCAAACACGAAAGUGGACGUAUACGGUGUGACGCCUGCCCGGUGCCGGAAGGUUAAUUGAUGGGGUUAUCCGUAAGGAGAAGCUCUUGAUCGAAGCCCCGGUAAACGGCGGCCGUAACUAUAACGGUCCUAAGGUAGCGAAAUUCCUUGUCGGGUAAGUUCCGACCUGCACGAAUGGCGUAAUGAUGGCCAGGCUGUCUCCACCCGAGACUCAGUGAAAUUGAACUCGCUGUGAAGAUGCAGUGUACCCGCGGCAAGACGGAAAGACCCCGUGAACCUUUACUAUAGCUUGACACUGAACACUGGUCCUUGAUGUGUAGGAUAGGUGGGAGGCUUUGAAGUGUGGACGCCAGUCUGCAUGGAGCCAUCCUUGAAAUACCACCCUUUAAUGGCUGGUGUUCUAACGUGGACCCGUUACCCGGGUUGCGGACAGUGUCUGGUGGGUAGUUUGACUGGGGCGGUCUCCUCCUAAAGAGUAACGGAGGAGCACGAAGGUUAGCUAAUCCUGGUCGGACAUCAGGAGGUUAGUGCAAAGGCAUAAGCUAGCUUGACUGCGAGAGUGACGGCUCGAGCAGGUGCGAAAGCAGGUCUUAGUGAUCCGGUGGUUCUGAAUGGAAGGGCCAUCGCUCAACGGAUAAAAGGUACUCCGGGGAUAACAGGCUGAUACCGCCCAAGAGUUCAUAUCGACGGCGGUGUUUGGCACCUCGAUGUCGGCUCAUCACAUCCUGGGGCUGAAGUAGGUCCCAAGGGUAUGGCUGUUCGCCAUUUAAAGUGGUACGCGAGCUGGGUUUAGAACGUCGUGAGACAGUUCGGUCCCUAUCUGCCGUGGGCGCUGGAGAAUUGAGGGGGGCUGCUCCUAGUACGAGAGGACCGGAGUGGACGCAUCACUGGUGUUCGGGUUGUCAUGCCAAUGGCAUUGCCCGGUAGCUAAAUGCGGAAGAGAUAAGUGCUGAAAGCAUCUAAGCACGAAA
Molecule: ribosomal RNA, 1511 nt
Filed under: Citrobacter freundii
Lineage: Bacteria; Pseudomonadati; Pseudomonadota; Gammaproteobacteria; Enterobacterales; Enterobacteriaceae
Description: partial 23S ribosomal RNA
Rfam family: Bacterial large subunit ribosomal RNA
Source: RNAcentral